CGCGCACAAAAAAAUGGAAACCUACUCCGACCUCGGCACCGAUGGCGGCAACCACGCGCCGCCGCCGCCACUGGAGGUCCCUCCAUAGUUGGGCCCGACGCUCCCCCCGCUCCCCAGCCGGGUACCGCUGCCGGCGCGAGGAAGCGGAAGGCCCCGACUACGGCGACAACGAAGGCUCGCAUGCCGCAGGUUGAAGAACCGAUUCAGAUGCCUGUGUACUAUGGACUUAGAGAAAUGUUUGACAGCGUUCAGGGCGAUGAUUUAGUUGAAGAUUCGUUAGACACUUUUGUAGAGAACAACUGUGCACACGUCAUUGGCGAGCUACCGCUGCAGCCGCAGUCGAUGUCAUUGGUGGAUCUACAGCUCUGGAUCUUCAAGUUGUUCCGGCUCCAUCCAGAAACACAAGAUCUCUCUAUUAAGGUGGAUCUACUCCUACGACGACUCCUCUGAAGUGGACAAUUAUUUGGAGCACUACCCGUGGGACAUACAUUACUUUACGACUGACAUGUUCCAGGAUCUAUUUAAUGGCCACCUUCAGCUUCUUAAGCUUAACUUUGGUACUAUCAUGUUGUUACCGAAGAAGGCGGAAGU
Triticum dicoccoides is the source of this 591-nucleotide long non-coding RNA. RefSeq lists it as uncharacterized. The record is from RefSeq and is a predicted model, not a curated record. NCBI's taxonomy places the organism in Eukaryota, Viridiplantae, Streptophyta, Magnoliopsida, Poales, Poaceae. The transcript has 3 exons.